GAAUAUUGGGCAAUGGACGAGAGUCUGACCCAGCCAUGCCGCGUGCAGGAAGACGGCCUUCUGGGUUGUAAACUGCUUUUAUCUGGGAAGAAAACGUCUCUGCGGAGAUAACUGGCGGUACCAGAUGAAUAAGCACCGGCUAACUCCGUGCCAGCAGCCGCGGUAAUACGGAGGGUGCAAGCGUUGUCCGGAUUUAUUGGGUUUAAAGGGUGCGUAGGCGGUUAAUUAAGUCAGCGGUGAAAGACUACAGCUCAACUGUAGCAGUGCCAUUGAUACUGGUUAACUUGAGUAUUGUUGAGGUAUUUGGAAUUUAUAGUGUAGCGGUGAAAUGCAUAGAUACUAUAAGGAACACCGAUAGCGUAGGCAGAAUACUAAGCAAUAACUGACGCUGAGGCACGAAAGCGUGGGUAGCGAACAGG
Molecule: ribosomal RNA, 419 nt
Filed under: uncultured bacterium
Lineage: Bacteria
Description: bacterial SSU rRNA
Rfam family: Bacterial small subunit ribosomal RNA
Source: RNAcentral